GAUGAACGCUGGCGGCGUGCCUAACACAUGCAAGUCGAGCGAGGGUUUGCUCAGUAUUGAGUAUUCUAAAACUAGAAUGUUCAAUUCUGAGCAAAACCAAGCGGCGGACGGGUGAGUAACGCGUGGGUAACCUGCCCUAUACACAUGGAUAACAUACUGAAAAGUUUACUAAUACAUGAUAAUAUAUAUUUGCGGCAUCGCAGAUAUAUCAAAGUGUUAGCGGUAUAGGAUGGACCCGCGUCUGAUUAGCUAGUUGGUGAGAUAACUGCCCACCAAGGCGACGAUCAGUAGCCGACCUGAGAGGGUGAUCGGCCACAUUGGAACUGAGACACGGUCCAAACUCCUACGGGAGGCAGCAGUGGGGAAUAUUGCACAAUGGGCGAAAGCCUGAUGCAGCAACGCCGCGUGAACGAUGAAGGUCUUCGGAUCGUAAAGUUCUGUUGCAGGGGAAGAUAAUGACGGUACCCUGUGAGGAAGC
Molecule: ribosomal RNA, 478 nt
Filed under: Peptostreptococcus stomatis
Lineage: Bacteria; Bacillati; Bacillota; Clostridia; Peptostreptococcales; Peptostreptococcaceae
Description: bacterial SSU rRNA
Rfam family: Bacterial small subunit ribosomal RNA
Source: RNAcentral